Molecule: ribosomal RNA, 477 nt
Filed under: Triticum aestivum (bread wheat)
Lineage: Eukaryota; Viridiplantae; Streptophyta; Magnoliopsida; Poales; Poaceae
Description: partial small subunit ribosomal RNA
Source: RNAcentral
AUGGAGGGAUCUUUCUUGAAUUCAAACCCGGCGCCGCAGUUUACUACGGCGGCUACGACGCACCCGCCACCGCCGCUAAUGGAUGGAUCUUCCUUGAAUUCGAACCCGGCGCCGCACUUGAGUACGUCGGCUACGACGCACUCGCCGCCGCCGCUAACGGAGGGAUCUUCCUUGAAUACCAACCCGCCGCCGCACUUGAGUAUCUCGGCUACGACGCACAUGCCGCCGCCGCUAAUGGAGGGAUCUCUCUUGAAUACCAACCCGCCUUCACACUUCAGUACGUCCUCUGCAAGCAUCCUGCCAGCCGCCGCAGCUGGCAUGAUGGAGCUCAGCUGCAGAACGAUGCCGACCAGGACAAGGAGCAGCACGGUAUUUCGGGCCAGGGAAGCCAUCAAUACCGAAACGUGGAGCUUUGCUUUUGUACUAGGCAGGUGGCAAUGUAAUGGGGACUCGGAGGUUAACGUGUGUGUUGCGUAG